GAUCUAAGAUGCAAGGAAUGAAGGCCCUAUCUCUUGGGUGAUUAGCCUUUGUUUAAAUACAAAGAGGAAUCUUCAAAGGUAUAAAUUUCAACUCACUUUGUUUUGAGUUGAUUAAUGGUUCACCAAUCUACUAGGCUUUGAAUUUCUUGGUUAAUGUUUUGUUUUUAAGUGCAUGCUAGCAUGAUUCCGCAUUUAAUUGUUAAUUGCAUGCUUAUAGAUGUUGCUUAAAUGAACAUGUUUUCACAAAAUCAUCCUUCAAGUGGUAUCAGAGCCUAGGUCUAGUAGUUGGUGAAUCCUUUUGUGUUUUGUAGUUCAUAGUUUGUGAUUUAAAAGUUGUAAUUGUUACAAGCUUUAUUCUUGUUUCUUUGAAUGUAAAUUUUGUUAGAAAAUUUGUCAUCUCAAAUGUUGUAGAUGUAGUUCAUAUGAGCAUGAAUAUUGGAGCUAAAAUUUGGUGCCAUGACUUUGGGGAUUUUCGGCCAAAUCCAAAGGGUGGAUUUUUGGGUUCUUGUUUGACUUGUUAAAAGUGUUUUCAAGUGACUUUUGGAACCCCUAUGUACCCUAUUUUGGUUAGAUGUUAUUUCCCUAAAGUUUGAAUGGUUUUGGAAUGUUUUUGGGUGAAAAAUGUUCAUGGAAAUUUUUUGUGUUUUUCAUGAAUGUUCUUCAUUGUUCUUGACAUUUUUGCCAAGAACAAAAAGUUUGGUGUUUUGAUUCAAAGUUUUGAUUAAUUUCAUAAAGUCUUUGUUUUGUGUUGAUUGGUGUGAAAUAUCUAUCAUCAAAACAUUUAUAUUUUUUGAAAGGUGAUAGAAAUUGUGAUGGGUGUGUAAGACUUACACACCUUACAUAUGUCACAAACCACUUGCAUGUAUUUAUGUCACAAACCACUUGCAAGGCUUUAUGAAUUUGUUGAAAAAAUUUUCAAAAUUUUGUGGACUAACACUCCAAAACCGGCCACCCUAUUAUUAGGGUUCUUUUGGGUCUUUUAUGCAAUUACAUAAA
This 996-nucleotide long non-coding RNA is filed under the name Malus domestica (apple). RNAcentral describes it as "long non-coding RNA (MDOM_LNC005933)". Lineage: Eukaryota; Viridiplantae; Streptophyta; Magnoliopsida; Rosales; Rosaceae. The record is from RNAcentral.